AAGCCAGAAAAGCUGAAAACAUAAGGUCAAAGACAAAACAAUCAAAAGGGAUUGAAAAGAUUAUCAAGUCAUCCAAUGGCAAGAAAAUUACAAAGGCAUGAAUAGACCAGCGGAUCAAUUUUGAAACCAAGUCCUGGAUAACUCGGAUAUUAAAGACGCCAAAAUAUAACUUAAAAAGCAAGAAAAGCUCUGAGCAGCAGAAGCAUUUCUCAGAAGUAAAGCCUGUCUGCAAGAAUUUUUCUAUGUUUCCUGGGUCAACAAAAUCAUAAGCAAUAAAAGCAGGAUCACCUUGAAGCCACAGCUUUUCUUUAAGACAACACUCAGGCACAUAACGCCUUCUUGCUACCGAGCUCCUUCAAGCCUCCAUCUUCAUCUACACCACCAUCGUCUAGGCUCCCUAUCACCGGUGGGACUCUGUUCUGCUGUGAUGGGACAUCAGAGUCUAACCGCCAAAUACCUCAAACACGGAUAAAACAUGUUCAGUUCCUUCUUAUGAUCUCUCCUUAUACAGAAAGUUUUGUUGCCAUACUUCUUUGCUCUGCUUUUUAUCAUGCAACUAUUGUGAUAAAGCUGUGGUGUGUCUAGGUUCAGGUUCAUGCCAGAUGGCUGCCCCUCCCUGAGCCUGGUUCUGCUGGAGGUUUCUUCCUGUUAAAGGGAGUUUUUCCUUCCCGUUGUCGCCAUCUGGGAGCCAUCUGAGGGAGUUUUCUUUUUAUUAUUGUAUGUUCUUUACCUUACAAAAACACCUUGAGGUGACUGUUCUUGUGAUUUGGUGCUUUUUUAAUUGAAUUGAAUCCAUUUAUAUCUUUAUUCAUACAUGUUUAUAUCUUCUUUGAAUGAUAGAGUUUUUAUAUGUAUUUGUGGAUGAUACAGUGAACUGUGUUCACAGAUGAUCAGUGAUUUUUGGAAGUGUUCCUGAGCCUAUGCAAUGAUUUCCAUGAUACAAUCUGUUUUUAAUGUUUUUAAUGCUAAAGACACAGAAGCUCUCCCCGGGGCCCACUUAGGACAUGAGUGUCGACACAUAAUGUGCCCUUGUACACAAAAGAACAUAGGAUGGAGCAGUCAUUCAGCAACAAUCCCUGGCAAACACAGGAUUACACUGAAAAUAGUACUUUGUUUCACUACGUAAUUCAAUCCCACCAGUACUUGGUGGUUGAUGAUGUAUCCAGUUUAAGUAAUUGGUUCAACUGAUAAGAAGACAAUAAGGAUGACUUGCUAAUAAAAUGUCAGUUUAUGUUUGUAUUUAGUUCCUGAGAAAAACUAAAUACUGGAAAACUCUAUGUUACAGUUUCUAGAUUAUUUGUCCACGUAGCAUUUGAAAUCCUAAAGGGAGGGAAGUGUAUUAACUUUCCUAGCCCUACAAAGGUUUACACAGCUGAGGUUUCUAGUUUCACACUCCUCUUUGCUGAGCCACAGGCCAUUUAAGGACUCAAAGAGUAAGGCAACAAAAAAAAGACCCUUAAAUUUAGACUUUAUUUUUCAGUAGACAAAUGAAUUAUCAUCAUAUAGGCAGCUA
Molecule: long non-coding RNA, 1513 nt
Organism: Oreochromis niloticus (Nile tilapia)
Lineage: Eukaryota; Metazoa; Chordata; Actinopteri; Cichliformes; Cichlidae
Exons: 2
Source: RefSeq, a predicted model, not a curated record